GAAACAUGUAAUUCUAAUUAAAUAUCAAUUCGAACAUUUUUUAUUAAUCUAAUCAGAAGCUCUAUAAGGCGACACUCUGUCCUGCCACCUAAAUAAAUGGGCCCUGUAGACCACAUCGACACCAUGCAACGCAAUACGCUUAGACCUCAACUCAUCGUCAUCCACUUAAGACCCAUACAACAACAACCACAAUAACAUAAUCCUCAAACUUGUCCAUCUAAACUGUACAAUACAACUGUUUAUACUGUUUAUACUGUUUAUAAUUCAUCAUUUCCCUGCUCAGAAUUAUUAUUAUUAUUAUUAUUAUUAUUAUUAUUAUUAUUAUUAUUAAAAAAAAUAAAACAUUAACAAAUUCUUUAGCAUUAACAAUUUACAAUUUUAUGGGGGAUUAUUUUUACGAUUGUCCAGAUAAAAUGAUUAAAGCAAAGUAUUUUUGGGAUCUAUUUUUUAUUAAAAUAGUAUAAAAUGUUUAUUAUAUCAACAAUACAAUAUGGAAUGGAUAAUCGAUUUCGAUUUCGAUUAAGCCGCACUGUAAAAAUUUACAUUGCUUUGUUUUUAAAGACAAUAAGGCACAACAACACAUUUUUUUUAUUUGCAUUAUUAAACCUUACACAACUGUUCUGUUUUCUUGUUCAUCAGAUUUCACCGUGUCUUCAUACCUAUAUGAAUAUUUUUUUGGACGGAAUGUAAUGUUUAUCAAAAUACAUGUAAACCAUUUGAACAUAUAAAUAUAACUUAGAAAAAUAAUUAAUUCGCAUAUAAAA
This is a long non-coding RNA of Aethina tumida (small hive beetle), 764 nucleotides long. RefSeq lists it as uncharacterized. The transcript is spliced from 2 exons. NCBI's taxonomy places the organism in Eukaryota, Metazoa, Arthropoda, Insecta, Coleoptera, Nitidulidae. The record is from RefSeq and is a predicted model, not a curated record.